GUCUUCCGUACUCCCCACGUGAAUUAUGUGGCGGAUGUUCACAGAACCGUGCACGCGCCUUGCAGAUGGAGAUAGGACGGAGAACAUAUCAGAACUUCUUUCUGGUCCUUGGACAGGUUGAUGAAGUUAACAGCUACUGAUGAUCAGGAUGCUCGCGACAGGAGUCGACUCGGCCUCAGCUCUAGUACAUCCUUAGCGCACUUGCGACACCUUUUCAAAGUCAAAUAAAAGAAGAUUUUGCAGUGAGCAGUGUAAUGUACUGUACGAACAGUUUUUUUCUACCGAACUCCACACACCAGUCGUAUCACUGCGCAGAAGACAGGAGCACGAGCUGCCCGCGAUAUCUUCUCGCGGGGGGGAUCACGCGUUAUAGCAGGACUGAACGUCUGGCUGCAGUGUAACAUUAGCUUUUUCUUCUUUUUUCUUGUUGAUUUUUUUUCUUGAAAUGGUUCAAGUACUUAUAUAUCUGUAUAUACCAAUGCAUGGCAGAUGCUGUUUGUGCAAAGUUGGUGCAAUCUUGAGAUUUUUUAUUGAUUGAUUUAUUUUGGAGGGCCCAAUCACAAAAAUUGAUGUAGAGAAGCCAAUU
Long non-coding RNA from Paramormyrops kingsleyae, 586 nucleotides. RefSeq lists it as uncharacterized. The record is from RefSeq and is a predicted model, not a curated record. NCBI's taxonomy places the organism in Eukaryota, Metazoa, Chordata, Actinopteri, Osteoglossiformes, Mormyridae.